RNAcentral lists this ribosomal RNA (2901 nucleotides) under Shigella boydii. RNAcentral describes it as "bacterial LSU rRNA". It matches the Rfam family "Bacterial large subunit ribosomal RNA". RNAcentral also lists the same sequence under 3 other names. Lineage: Bacteria; Pseudomonadati; Pseudomonadota; Gammaproteobacteria; Enterobacterales; Enterobacteriaceae. The record is from RNAcentral.
UUAAGCGACUAAGCGUACACGGUGGAUGCCCUGGCAGUCAGAGGCGAUGAAGGACGUGCUAAUCUGCGAUAAGCGUCGGUAAGGUGAUAUGAACCGUUAUAACCGGCGAUUUCCGAAUGGGGAAACCCAGUGUGUUUCGACACACUAUCAUUAACUGAAUCCAUAGGUUAAUGAGGCGAACCGGGGGAACUGAAACAUCUAAGUACCCCGAGGAAAAGAAAUCAACCGAGAUUCCCCCAGUAGCGGCGAGCGAACGGGGAGCAGCCCAGAGCCUGAAUCAGUGUGUGUGUUAGUGGAAGCGUCUGGAAAGGCGCGCGAUACAGGGUGACAGCCCCGUACACAAAAAUGCACAUGCUGUGAGCUCGAUGAGUAGGGCGGGACACGUGGUAUCCUGUCUGAAUAUGGGGGGACCAUCCUCCAAGGCUAAAUACUCCUGACUGACCGAUAGUGAACCAGUACCGUGAGGGAAAGGCGAAAAGAACCCCGGCGAGGGGAGUGAAAAAGAACCUGAAACCGUGUACGUACAAGCAGUGGGAGCCUCUUUAUGGGGUGACUGCGUACCUUUUGUAUAAUGGGUCAGCGACUUAUAUUCUGUAGCAAGGUUAACCGAAUAGGGGAGCCGAAGGGAAACCGAGUCUUAACUGGGCGUUAAGUUGCAGGGUAUAGACCCGAAACCCGGUGAUCUAGCCAUGGGCAGGUUGAAGGUUGGGUAACACUAACUGGAGGACCGAACCGACUAAUGUUGAAAAAUUAGCGGAUGACUUGUGGCUGGGGGUGAAAGGCCAAUCAAACCGGGAGAUAGCUGGUUCUCCCCGAAAGCUAUUUAGGUAGCGCCUCGUGAAUUCAUCUCCGGGGGUAGAGCACUGUUUCGGCAAGGGGGUCAUCCCGACUUACCAACCCGAUGCAAACUGCGAAUACCGGAGAAUGUUAUCACGGGAGACACACGGCGGGUGCUAACGUCCGUCGUGAAGAGGGAAACAACCCAGACCGCCAGCUAAGGUCCCAAAGUCAUGGUUAAGUGGGAAACGAUGUGGGAAGGCCCAGACAGCCAGGAUGUUGGCUUAGAAGCAGCCAUCAUUUAAAGAAAGCGUAAUAGCUCACUGGUCGAGUCGGCCUGCGCGGAAGAUGUAACGGGGCUAAACCAUGCACCGAAGCUGCGGCAGCGACGCUUAUGCGUUGUUGGGUAGGGGAGCGUUCUGUAAGCCUGUGAAGGUGUGCUGUGAGGCAUGCUGGAGGUAUCAGAAGUGCGAAUGCUGACAUAAGUAACGAUAAAGCGGGUGAAAAGCCCGCUCGCCGGAAGACCAAGGGUUCCUGUCCAACGUUAAUCGGGGCAGGGUGAGUCGACCCCUAAGGCGAGGCCGAAAGGCGUAGUCGAUGGGAAACAGGUUAAUAUUCCUGUACUUGGUGUUACUGCGAAGGGGGGACGGAGAAGGCUAUGUUGGCCGGGCGACGGUUGUCCCGGUUUAAGCGUGUAGGCUGAUUUUCCAGGCAAAUCCGGAAAAUCAAGGCUGAGGCGUGAUGACGAGGCACUACGGUGCUGAAGCAACAAAUGCCCUGCUUCCAGGAAAAGCCUCUAAGCAUCAGGUAACAUCAAAUCGUACCCCAAACCGACACAGGUGGUCAGGUAGAGAAUACCAAGGCGCUUGAGAGAACUCGGGUGAAGGAACUAGGCAAAAUGGUGCCGUAACUUCGGGAGAAGGCACGCUGAUAUGUAGGUGAAGUCCCUCGCGGAUGGAGCUGAAAUCAGUCGAAGAUACCAGCUGGCUGCAACUGUUUAUUAAAAACACAGCACUGUGCAAACACGAAAGUGGACGUAUACGGUGUGACGCCUGCCCGGUGCCGGAAGGUUAAUUGAUGGGGUCAGCGCAAGCGAAGCUCUUGAUCGAAGCCCCGGUAAACGGCGGCCGUAACUAUAACGGUCCUAAGGUAGCGAAAUUCCUUGUCGGGUAAGUUCCGACCUGCACGAAUGGCGUAAUGAUGGCCAGGCUGUCUCCACCCGAGACUCAGUGAAAUUGAACUCGCUGUGAAGAUGCAGUGUACCCGCGGCAAGACGGAAAGACCCCGUGAACCUUUACUAUAGCUUGACACUGAACAUUGAGCCUUGAUGUGUAGGAUAGGUGGGAGGCUUAGAAGUGUGGACGCCAGUCUGCAUGGAGCCGGCCUUGAAAUACCACCCUUUAAUGUUUGAUGUUCUAACGUGGACCCGUAAUCCGGGUUGCGGACAGUGUCUGGUGGGUAGUUUGACUGGGGCGGUCUCCUCCUAAAGAGUAACGGAGGAGCACGAAGGUUGGCUAAUCCUGGUCGGACAUCAGGAGGUUAGUGCAAUGGCAUAAGCCAGCUUGACUGCGAGCGUGACGGCGCGAGCAGGUGCGAAAGCAGGUCAUAGUGAUCCGGUGGUUCUGAAUGGAAGGGCCAUCGCUCAACGGAUAAAAGGUACUCCGGGGAUAACAGGCUGAUACCGCCCAAGAGUUCAUAUCGACGGCGGUGUUUGGCACCUCGAUGUCGGCUCAUCACAUCCUGGGGCUGAAGUAGGUCCCAAGGGUAUGGCUGUUCGCCAUUUAAAGUGGUACGCGAGCUGGGUUUAGAACGUCGUGAGACAGUUCGGUCCCUAUCUGCCGUGGGCGCUGGAGAACUGAGGGGGGCUGCUCCUAGUACGAGAGGACCGGAGUGGACGCAUCACUGGUGUUCGGGUUGUCAUGCCAAUGGCACUGCCCGGUAGCUAAAUGCGGAAGAGAUAAGUGCUGAAAGCAUCUAAGCACGAAACUUGCCCCGAGAUGAGUUCUCCCUGACUCCUUGAGAGUCCUGAAGGAACGUUGAAGACGACGACGUUGAUAGGCCGGGUGUGUAAGCGCAGCGAUGCGUUGAGCUAACCGGUACUAAUGAACCGUGAGGCUUAACCUU